This 643-nucleotide ribosomal RNA is filed under the name uncultured bacterium. RNAcentral's name for it is "bacterial SSU rRNA". It matches the Rfam family "Bacterial small subunit ribosomal RNA", at positions 57 to 699 of the family's 1533-position model. The record is from RNAcentral.
GCAAGUCGAACGAGAAUCUACUGAAGGAGGAUUCGUCCAACGGAUGUAGAGGAAAGUGGCGGACGGGUGAGUAACGCGUGAGGAACCUGCCUUGAAGAGGGGGACAACAGUUGGAAACGACUGCUAAUACCGCAUGAAGCAUAGGGGUCGCAUGAUUCUUAUGCCAAAGAUUUAUCGCUUCAAGAUGGCCUCGCGUCUGAUUAGCUAGUUGGCGGGGUAACGGCCCACCAAGGCGACGAUCAGUAGCCGGACUGAGAGGUUGAACGGCCACAUUGGGACUGAGAUACGGCCCAGACUCCUACGGGAGGCAGCAGUGGGGAAUAUUGGGCAAUGGGCGCAAGCCUGACCCAGCAACGCCGCGUGAAGGAAGAAGGCUUUCGGGUUGUAAACUUCUUUUAAGAGGGAAGAGCAGAAGACGGUACCUCUAGAAUAAGCCACGGCUAACUACGUGCCAGCAGCCGCGGUAAUACGUAGGUGGCAAGCGUUGUCCGGAUUUACUGGGUGUAAAGGGCGUGCAGCCGGGUCUGCAAGUCAGAUGUGAAAUCCAUGGGCUCAACCCAUGAACUGCAUUUGAAACUGUAGAUCUUGAGUGUCGGAGGGGCAAUCGGAAUUCCUAGUGUAGCGGUGAAAUGCGUAGAUAUUA